UAGGGAAUAUUAGAAAUGGACGACAGUCUGAUCUAGCAACACCGCGUGUGCUAAGAAGGCCUUCGGGUUGUAAAGCACUUUUUGGACGGAUUAGAAAGGAAUGUACUUACAGACUAAGUCUAGGCUAACUACGUGCCAGCAGCCGCGGUAACACGUAGGAGGCAAACGUUAUCCGGAUUUACUGGGCGUAAAGCGCGUGUAGGUGGUUCUGUAAGUAGGGCGUGAAAGCUCCUGGCUCAACUGGGAGAGGCCGUUCUAAACUGCAGAGCUAGAGGAUGGUAGAGGGAGGUGGAAUUCCAGGUGUAGCGGUGGAAUGCGCAGAUAUCUGGAGGAACACCAGUGGCGAAGGCGGCCUCCUGGACCAUUCCUGACACUCAGACGCGAAAGCUAGGGUAGCAAACG
This 402-nucleotide ribosomal RNA is filed under the name uncultured prokaryote. Its description in RNAcentral is "bacterial SSU rRNA". It matches the Rfam family "Bacterial small subunit ribosomal RNA", at positions 355 to 774 of the family's 1533-position model. The record is from RNAcentral.